AGCCCUCCCGAGCGGCGGAGGAUGCGCCGAGCCCCGGGGAGACGAGCCCAGCUGCAGCGCGGCGCGUCCCGCCCGGCCGCCGCCCCAGCCCGCGCAGCCCCCUGUGCCUGGGAGCCAUGAGCCGCCGGAGCAGCCUCCCAGCCGCAGCCCCCCGGCACUCUUAGGCUGCCCUGCUCCCCUGGAAGGUGCUCAUCGCUGGCCAGGAGAACUGGCUGCACCUGCACCCAGCCUCCUGCAUCCCUCCCAAGGUUCCUUGUCUCACCAGCAGGUCCUUGUAGGAUUUCAGCUCUGGGCUGCGUGUCUGGGGCUGAGCCAGGUGCCCCCUGCUCCGUGCUGGGUCCCAUGAGCCGGGCAGGACCCCCCUGUCCCUCGCGCCCGGGGCCGCAGCGCCCGGCUCUGCCCCCGCUGCUCGGGAGCGCCCGCCAGCCCCCAGAGCGGAGCCGCAGAGAGCUGCUGCCACGGUGAGUCCUGCCUUCUCCUUCCCCUUCCUUCCUUCCCCUUCCUUCCUUCCCCUUCCUUCCUUCCCCUUCCUUCCUUCCCCUUCCUUCCUUCUCCUUCCUUCCUUCCCCU
Molecule: long non-coding RNA, 570 nt
Filed under: Lonchura striata (white-rumped munia)
Lineage: Eukaryota; Metazoa; Chordata; Aves; Passeriformes; Estrildidae
Description: domestica (Bengalese finch) lncRNA (ENSLSDG00000010258.1)
Source: RNAcentral